Podarcis lilfordi (Lilford's wall lizard) is the source of this 170-nucleotide non-coding RNA. NCBI's taxonomy places the organism in Eukaryota, Metazoa, Chordata, Lepidosauria, Squamata, Lacertidae. The record is from the annotation of a GenBank genome assembly.
UAAUUCAAAAGUUCAAUAUAUACAUAAUCUGUCACCAAAUAUAGCCGGAACAGAGUUUGUGGAUAACCAAUCUGUUUCGUUCAAUGCUUCAUCAGCCAAUCUUUCCAUCCGGAAACUCUGUUCUGGCAAUAUUUGGUGACAGAUUAUGUAUAUAUCAAACUUUUGAAUUA